This 136-nucleotide ribosomal RNA is filed under the name Aotus nancymaae (Ma's night monkey). Lineage: Eukaryota; Metazoa; Chordata; Mammalia; Primates; Aotidae. The record is from RNAcentral.
GUCUAUGGCUAUAUCACCCUGAACACACUUGAUCUUGUCUGAUCUCAGAAGCUAAGCAGGGUCAGGUCUGGUUAGUACUUGGAAGGGAGAAAUUAUCUCAAUUCAAACAUCACAAAAAAUCUGAAAGCCAGCUACC